UGGGGAAUAUUGCGCAAUGGGCGAAAGCCUGACGCAGCGACGCCGCGUGGGGGAUGAAGGCCUUCGGGUUGUAAACCCCUUUCAGCAGGGACGAAGCGAAAGUGACGGUACCUGCAGAAGAAGCGCCGGCUAACUACGUGCCAGCAGCCGCGGUAAUACGUAGGGCGCAAGCGUUGUCCGGAAUUAUUGGGCGUAAAGAGCUCGUAGGCGGUCUGUCACGUCUGCUGUGAAAUCCCGGGGCUUAACCCCGGGCGUGCAGUGGAUACGGGCAGACUAGAGGCAGGUAGGGGAGAAUGGAAUUCCCGGUGUAGCGGUGAAAUGCGCAGAUAUCGGGAGGAACACCGGUGGCGAAGGCGGUUCUCUGGGCCUGACCUGACGCUGAGGAGCGAAAGCGUGGGGAGCGAACA
Molecule: ribosomal RNA, 407 nt
Filed under: uncultured Acidothermus sp.
Lineage: Bacteria; Bacillati; Actinomycetota; Actinomycetes; Acidothermales; Acidothermaceae
Description: bacterial SSU rRNA
Rfam family: Bacterial small subunit ribosomal RNA
Source: RNAcentral